Molecule: ribosomal RNA, 301 nt
Filed under: uncultured bacterium
Lineage: Bacteria
Description: partial 16S ribosomal RNA
Rfam family: Bacterial small subunit ribosomal RNA
Source: RNAcentral
CAGUCGCCACGGGAAUACGUAGGGUGCAAGCGUUAAUCGGAAUUACUGGGCGUAAAGCGUGCGCGGGCGGUUCCGCAAGUCAGAUGUGAAAUCCCCGGGCUCAACCUGGGAACUGCAUUUGAAACUACGGGGCUAGAGUGUGUCAGAGGGGGGUGGAAUUCCACGUGUAGCAGUGAAAUGCGUAGAGAUGUGGAGGAACACCAAUGGCGAAGGCAGCCCCCUGGGAUGACACUGACGCUCAUGCACGAAAGCGUGGGGAGCAAACAUGAUUAGAUACCCCCGUAGUCCCUGUCUCUUAUAC